GGCUAUGAUGAGAAGAGGGUUAUCUGAUGCAUGAUGAUACUUACCCGAACUGAGC
Molecule: small nucleolar RNA, 55 nt
Filed under: Methanotorris igneus Kol 5
Lineage: Archaea; Methanobacteriati; Methanobacteriota; Methanococci; Methanococcales; Methanocaldococcaceae
Description: Small nucleolar RNA sR3
Rfam family: Small nucleolar RNA sR3
Source: Rfam by way of RNAcentral